Molecule: ribosomal RNA, 874 nt
Filed under: Phyllocoptes terniflores
Lineage: Eukaryota; Metazoa; Arthropoda; Arachnida; Trombidiformes; Eriophyidae
Description: partial large subunit ribosomal RNA
Rfam family: Eukaryotic large subunit ribosomal RNA
Source: RNAcentral
AAAUAGAACUUUGCAGAGAGAGUUAACAGGGCGUGAAACCGUUAAUUGGCAAACGAAUCGGAGCCACGAAGUCGUUUCGUUGUAGUUGGGCCUAGUUCAGCGUUGGGAGGUGGGGGCUUACACCCUCUCUCUGGGCGCGUACUCUAGGGCCCAGCCUACCUUGUAAGCGUACACUGCAACCGGUUAGACGAUUGGCGAUGGGCUUAGUUGGUGCUGGAGUUAGUAGCAACGGAACGGUGCCUCUUGUGGGCUUUUGUUCUGCUGCUUGGCUCUAACAGGUGAACUAUCGCCAAAGACUAACCGGCCAAAUGAAAAUCGCCCCUCCAUAGGCGUUUCCUUAGAAGGCGGCGCUUGCAUUGGCGUCUACACGCUUGACCGUGCGGUUUAAGCUCAUCAUUUUAGAAUUUGGACUCGCUGGCUACCAGUGGGGCAACUCCUGGUGCCAGUGCGGCUCCAUCUAAUCGGGUGCUGACUUGACUGUACGCUGUUCGAGUGUGCCCACGAUUGGGCGUCAAUGUAAUGCGACUCGCAAUCUUAUUGGCCCGUCUUGAAACACGGACCAAGGAGUCUAAUUAGACAUCAAGUCGAUCGGUCUUGAAUAGGCCAGACGGUGAUGGUGAUUGCAAUUGAAGGCGCAGAGACAUGUGAUCAUUUGAGCAAAACAGCCCAAGUGCGCAACAUGUGCCUGCUUGUAUGGCAUUCUUGUUAGCAAAACUUGCCGGGCGGAGCAGAGAGAUGUCUGAUUGGUACCCGAAAGAUGGUGAGCCUGGGCAAAUUGAAGCCAGAGGAAACUCUGGUGGAGGAUUGUAGCGAUUCUGACGUGCAAAUCGAUCGUCAGACCUGGGUAUAGGGGCGAAAGACUAAUCGAACCAUC